CCCGGCGGUGCGCUGUGGGCGAGCGGCCAUGGCGGCGGCGGCGGCUGAGGCCUGGUUUGGCAGUGGGGGGAGCCUUGCGCCGUCUGGGCCUGGUGGGGACGCCUCACACCGCCGGCUCCGGCUCAGGGCCGCAGCGCAGAGCUCUCGCCCUGGGCCGGGCCCUCCGCGGAGCUCUCUUCGGGCACACAGAGUUCUGCUAAUAAAAUGGUGAAAUCCAAGCAGUGAGGAGUGUACCUUCUCUUUGCUGAGACUGCUUCUAUUGCUUGUGAAGCCAAGAUUGAGGACAAUCUCUAGAAGGCUACAGUGGAAAGUUCUUUGAGUUGCUAUGGGAAGAAGGCAAACACCUUGAAGAUCUGUUGAAGAUAAUGGAUAAUACAGCUAAGUAAUCCUUUUCUAAAACUUCAGUAGAGAAUAGAGAAGAAACAAGAUGGUGAGAUGGUUGACAAAUUAGUGUGGGCCAGUGUAAACUAUUAAGUCAGCAGGACCCUGAGGAAAUGGCCACAAGUUGUACCAGAGGAGGUUUAGAUCAGAUGUAAGGAAAAGCUAUUUCUCUCUGAGAGUGAUCAGGCACUGGAAUGGCCUGCCCAGGGAGGUGGUGGAGUUGCUGUCCCUGGCAGUGUUCAAGAGGUGUCUGGAUGAGGAGCUAUGAGAUAUGGUUUAGUAGCUUGUGGUAGUAAUGGUAAUGGGAGAACAGUUGGACUAGAUGAUCUCAUAGGUCCUUUCCAACCUUAUAAUUCUAUGAUUCUAUGAUCAGGUUGAUCUGCAGGAAUCCCCACUAUUUUAUUUCCUUUAACGUACCCAUUCUGUAGUACCCUUAUUUCAGAGAGUGUUGAGAAUGCUUUGAAUGUGCAGCAGAAUCAGAAUGCAUGAGUGUCCAACCUUCUGGCUUGUCUGGGCCCCACUGAGUGAAGAGUAAUUGUCUUGGGCAGUAGGUUGCUCUGAAAGCAAUGCCUCUUAUUUUCUGGGGACUACAACAGAUACAAUGAGCAUUGUACAAUGUUGCCAUCCCACCAACAUCCACCACAGACCCUGUGGGCCAAAAUAAUAAAACAGGAGGCAUUACUUCUGCAGCAGCACUUGUAUAGCAUAGUUUUGUUACUUGCGUACAUUAACUUACUUUAAUUUCUAGUAUUUCUAUUCAAAUGGGAAAAGAGCAACAAAGCCAUAGAACCAAUGGGAAGUUUGACCUUGUUUUUGUGAAACUAAUGAAUCCAUUUGGUUCAGUGGCAGUGGUUACAAUUCUUAGCGAGUUCUCUACGUUCUCACUGGAGUUUUUUUUAUGAAGCUUUAUUCUCUUCUGUGCUUUGUCCUUGCCAACAGUUGUUCACAAAUGUACUACUGCCAAAAGCAAUGACAUGAAUUAGGCAUGACUGUGAAGUGAGGGGUAUUUCUCUUAUAAAAAUUGGGUAAAGAGACAUGAUCAGAUUUUUGAGUUGACUAUCUGACUGCAAAUUUGUACAUUCCAUUUGGGAAAAAUGUAUUUGUGUCAAAGGAAAAUGGAGUUGCAAAUUUACAAAAAUGUUUUUUUGCAGUCUUGAAACCAAUUCUCAAAUUCCUUCAUCAAAACCAAAAUCAAGGCUGUAUAUUUUUGCAUUUUGCAGGACUGUUUAGCCAAUAUAUCAAAAGAUAUAUGAUUAUUUGCCAUAACUUGAGUUAGCACUGUGCUCUCUCCAUGCCCUGGUUUCAGCUUGGUGUUAAUAGUGCAGUGAUGUUUGGUUGCUGUUGAGCAAUGGGUGUGUGCCUGGGGCUGGGCAGAGCUGCUGCUGUGGUGGUGGGGGGUGGCUGCCUUGCAAGCUCUGCUGGGCUGCAUGAGGGCUGCAGGUUGGACGUGCCUGUUAUGAUCCCUGCUUAGCCUGAGGAUGUGAGUAUUGAUCAAAACAAGUCUAGAAUAACAGAUUUUACUGGCUGGUGGACUGUGGUUUACUUCUAAGGGGUUCGCAGAAGGUAAGUAGAAACAGCCUUUAAAUUGUUUAUGAAGGCCUAAAUCUUUUUAAGGUUGUUCAGAAUCAGCAUGUUGAAAAACACUAAAUCCCUGACCUGUUAUUAGGUGGAAAACACAGCAUUCUCCAUGGUUCUUCCUUAAUAUUUGAGAGGGGAAAAAAAGUAGUAUGUUGAGGCCACUGUUGCAGGUUGUUGCAGAAAGCCCACAACAGAGCCUUCUGCUAUGUACAACUCCUGGAUUUGAACAAGAAAUAGAAGAAAUGAUGUUUUUUUUAUCUUGGUGCUUAAUCAGAUCAAAUGGCUCUGCAAGGGGCCGCAUGUCUAUCCCUCUCCUUACAGAUGACAGUGAGGCACAAAAGCUGAAAUAACUUAGCCUAAAAAUGUUUUUGGACACUAGUGGGGCCAGGAAUAGAACCUAAGGAACAGAAGUCUUCAGGGCUUUCUCCACAGCGUCACAUCACAGCUUUCAGAAGCAUAAGCUUCUACCUAUAAUUUCUGACUAUUUCAUAAGCUGUUAAUGUAUGCCUGGUCUAAAAAUACUGUUUUGAAGAGUUGGGACUGACCCACUGGUGACUACUUUAAACCUGGAGGGUUGUUUCUCAUAAGCCUGGAAGAAGCGAGCCUUUCAGAAAUAGAGGUAUCUAUGACUGGUUGAACUUGCUUGCUCAGCAGCUGAAUAUAUGAAUGCUGUUUUGUUGCAGUUGCUCUGACCCCUGGUUCUGCUAAAUCUUCCUCAUCUUACAGUAAAUCAUUGUUAAAACUCUCCGCAUUUGCCUGGAAUCUGUCUCUUGAAAUCUAGCUUGAUUUUUGGGUGACCUUAUUGGGUUGCCUUGUGGAUGAAUGUCUGUGCCUGGUGUGUUGUUUGUUGCUGUACUAACUUGGAUUCUGCAGGAUGAGUAAAGACCUUGGGAAGAAAAAAUCGUGUUAUUUUCUAAGUGCCCACUGUUGAAACUUGGUUAUUUAACAUCCUAAUUUUGAUCCUGCCCUAAUAAAAAGUUUUUGGAAGUUGGAAUGAUGUCUCAGCUUUUGUUUGUUUUUUUAAUAAAAAGUAGCUGCUGAAGAGUCCUGGUGGAAUGGUGUUCUGAGUUUCAAAGCAUCAUCAGCGCUCUUCUGGUCAUGUUUCAAAACCAUAUCUGUGGGUGCCUACAAACAUCACCUGCCUCAGGAUUUUCUUGGGAGUGUUUUCAGGUUUUGGUGGCAUUGUAGAGUGUCCAAAAGGUGCUUCUUAAGUGGUAUUCAGCACCUCAGUGCUAACUGAGGUUUAUGAAGGAGUGAUACCUACUUCAGUUGUGAACACAAGAACUGAAAGUGUGGAAGCGAAGCAGUCUGACCAUCAGCAUGUGAAUACGGUGGUAAAAUGUUUUUGCUUCAGAUAUUGAAAGCAAAGCAGGUGAGUGUGGAUUCUAUUAGUAUUAUCUGCCUACUUUACCUUAUAUGUAACUUUUUGUUUGCUGGUGGGAACAAGUUCUUCAUACUAACAAUGAUGAAUAUGAAGAAUCUUGCUAUCUUUGUUUCCUGGUAGACCACUGCUAUAGAUCUCCUGCUCCAAAAUGCGUCCUUUUCUUUAGGGGGGUUAUUUAAAUGUGGAAGGGUUGUGAACUUAAUUGCAGUAAGCCUGCCAACAACUGAUCAGAAAAAGUAAAUAAGUAUGGCGCAUCAUGCAUAUGCCUUGUCAGUUUGUUCCAUCUCUAGGUUUGGGCAGCUGGAGGAGAGGAGUUGGGUCCUUGUCCUUCUUAGCCUGGGUUGGAUCUAUCAGUCAUGGCUUAUCUGAUGAGUGAGGGAAAAGGUCUAGUUAACAUUGUGAGUGAUUUAUGGAAGAGAUUUCCCCAGAAAGGGUUUUUGAAUGUCCUGAAGAGUAUUUUGCAGUUAGUGUUUAAUUUGUUGUUGCCAUUAAAAAGCAACUCUGCUCUUCACAGGUGGUGUUUUGCUGUCCCUACCCUGUCCCCUAUUCUGUCAACUAGUACUUAUGCAACAGCGUAGUUAAGCAGGUCAAAGAGGUAAUUUAGCUGAAAAAUAACCUCGCUAGAAGUGCAGCUAGUUUUCAUGUAUGUGUAUAGCUGUUAGCUCAGGGAUGUGGCAGGAAGGCAUGGGUCUUGUGUGGUGAAAAGCUUGGGUUGCACACAGUUGCUGUAAUCCUGGAAUUGCAUGCAAUUUGCCCCUUCCCGAACCUUUGUGUGAAAGCCAUGUUUCAUUAGGUCUGUUUUUCUGGGAUGCCAUCGGAUGUGGCUGUAGGAUCUCUUUGGGCUGCUGAUGAAGCACUGUAUUGUCUCUUGGCUAAUCAAUCCAUUUCAGCAAGUGGAAGCAUGAUCCAGUUUACAGUCACUCAAAGCAUAUGGACUUAAUGACUUUAAGCAGUUUGUUUCCAUUUGUUGCCACGUGGUGGUGAUGUUGGUUGUUCCCUUCUCUCCUACUGCUGAAGGGAAGUGGCAGAUAACAUUGGCAAGGGAUGUCCAAUAGAUAGAUCGGUGCCUCCAGAUGACUCUAACCAGUGCCAUGUGGUUUUGCCAGUUACCAGUAUGGUGAGGAAAUGCAUGCUCCUGUUUGUACUCUUAUUGACAUGUAAGUAUUCCUGUACCUCAGCAGGGUGAGCUAAUCAACAGCAAGUAUUUUGUGACAGACAACACUGACAAAAUAUAAUCAUUUUUCAAGGUAAUGUGCUGCAGGUAUCUCCUUUUGAAUCCUUGGUCGUCAUAGUCCAUAACCCUUGGUUAUGCAGAAGACAUGAAAUGAGGCAUUCACCCAAGUUAACCAGUAAAGGAUAGCUGACACUGGGUAUGGGAAGGACUGUUCUCUCCUUCAGUUGCCUACAACUAAUGCCUUGGGUUCUCAUCAGUUUUAUGCUGACAAGCAGAGAUGGGGAAGAGAUCAUCCAUUCAGAACACGUGUUUAAAUGAGAUCAAUAACACUGUAAAAUCCUCUCUGCUGACUACUGAUUAUAAGUGUCAGUGUGAUCUAGGCCUUGAAGAAAUUUAUAUGAUAUAGGUGACAGCAUAGUCACUGGGAGGACAGCUUCCAAAACAGUUACAUCUGAAGAUCUAAAUUUGUUUAAUCAAUUCUGACUUUCCUGCUCUUGUCUGUGUCCAGUAUUACAAACCCAGGUUUGUUGAGGCACUGAAUCUUAUGUCUUCUUGUAGCGCAGUGCUUGUUUCUGUUCUUCACAGCAAAGCAGAAGAGGAAAGUGGGAAACUGAGAUUCUCAUGCAUUUUGAAGCCUUCAUUUGGCUAAGAUGAGAAGGGAAACUUGAAUAAGACAAUAUUAGUCAAACAUUCUAUAGAUUUUUCCAAUUAGGAAUUGUAUAAAAGGAAACAGUGUGUGCUGUCUGUGUGUACAGGUUAUUGUUGGUCACAGUAAGUGCAUGAUUGAGAUGCUGCUCUAGAAUGUUUGUUUUGUAAUCUCCAUUUCUUAAUAGCUGAUCUUUGUCUUUUUUCAUCAAACUGAUGAUCUUAUUUCUGUUUUGAUUAAGUGGAUGACUUUGUCUUGUAAUACUGCUUGGCAAAAACAGGUAUAUUUUGAUAGAAGUUUGGUUUUAGAUUUACAUCUGUAGGUAGCGUUACUUCUGUUGAAGGGGUGCAUUUUAUUUUUUGUUCCAGUGAUAUAUGAUGCAGAAAACAAAUGAGAAUUAGAAAACACAUCAAAUCAAAUGUUCUUCAUGUAAACUCUUUCAACGUGAUGUAUGUUGCAAUGGCUGAUUUGGGGCAGCAUUGGACUCCGGAAUAUGCAGAGCAGUUUUGCAUAGCUCUGAAGAUGUUUGGGUGGAUACUGGAGGUCUAGCCAUCACAAUUAUGUAGUUUCCACAGCCUGCAUGAGUGUCUUGACAGCUGACUAUGUUCUGUUGCAAGACGGUAUAUUGGACUAUGUAUACAUGCCUUCAGUGUUUCAAAACUCAGCCUGUGAGGUGUGGGAGAAAAGCUAGCAGUCACAUUUAUGAGUCAAAUUCUUUGGAGGUGUGCGAGAGUAGUUGGUGAAGGAACAUAAAAAGAUGAAGAUCGGGGAAUGGAAUGUUUGGUGUUGGUUUUAAUUAGAAUUGUCCUGCUCAUCAUUCAUACCGUGAGAUAAAAGGGAAAAAUAUCCUCUCUGCACAUGCAGAGAAAAAUAUUUCUAUUACAGUUAGUGAGCAACCCUAAUUGGACUGCCAAAUAUAAAUUUGUCAAAAACUCAUACUGAUUCAGUAUUAAAGCUAGCAAUUAUCUCAGAAGGAAAAAAAAAACAACCAAAAAAAGAAAAAAAACACCAAACUAAUAAAGCCCAGUCAGUAAACUUUUCUCUUGUGUAUAUAGGUCUUCUUGUGGCUUUCUCCUUCCAAACAGUAUAAAGAUGGGAUUCAUGUUGUGGUUUGGAAGAGAGCAUGUUUUAAACCAGAGGAGGAAGUCAAUGGAUGACCUUUAGAGCUUAGGGAAGAAGGCUCUUCUGUCUUAGAGGGGCUUUCUUCCAGCUGAGGAGUAACCAGCUGCUCAACCAUACUGCUGUCUUCCCAUAGGUGUGGUGCAGUGACAUGCCAGGAGAGGUAUUUGCUACCCUUGAUUGUAGUUAGUCAUGCUAAGUGACCUGUGCUCUAAUCUCCCAGCAUUGCAAAGCAGCCAAAGUGACCGAUACUGUUACUUCACAUGCUCCUGCAAGGUAGAUUAGAAUCUGCUGCUCCUGAACUUAAUUUGCUGGCAGCAUCUUUAAAAUACUUUCUAGAGCGUUUGGAUCGUAAUCAUUUUUAAGGCUUGAAACUUACUAAAUGAAGCAAAACAAUCUGUUCUCCUUUUGUAUUUAAAAAAAAAUUAGAUUUAAAUUGUUCUACAUUGUAAAAUUUAAUGUCAGGGUAGGUGUGUGCAAGUAACCUUUUCACCCUCCAGUUGAUACAAAGGACUGUUCUCACUUCACAGAAAUGCCUCUGCGUAGACUGUGGUUCCAUCUGAACCAAUUUGUUUUUGGCUUCUGACUAAAAAGCAUACAAAGAGAUAGUCCAGGGUAAGUACAUUGGGUUGCUAUCAAGCAUGAUAUGACAGAUGUCAUAUUAAAAAUAAUGGCAGGGAAAACAAAGCUCUUAAUUGAUUGCUUUCCCUUUCUAAAAUACAAGUAAGGCAGUUUUGACAUUAUUCAACUCAGGUCAUCAAAUUCAUAUAAUUAUAUACCAAUGUAAUGCAUGCAUCUUAGAAGAAUGAAAAGUACAGAAGGAUGAGUGUGAAUGUAAAUUUACUCAUCUUUUAUAAAAUGCUUUCUUGAGGUGCUGACAUUUUCAGUGCAUUGAUUGUUCAUAAUGAAUACUCUUGCAUAAAAUAUUUCAAAGGUAAUUUUCUGAGGCCAGAAAAUGACUUAAAAAGUUAUUCACUAAAGAGCAGUCAAUAAGCUGUGUCCGGAAGCAGAUUUAUGGGAUGUGAAAUAAAUUGAUGUAACAGAGGUUGCUUAUACAAAAGAAUUACCUGCCCUUUUACAGCUUCGAUGUCCUAAAACAGGAAACUCAAAAGCGAUGUGGGCCAAUUCAGAGGCAGUCAUUCUGUACUAUGCAGUCAUGGGCCAUUGAAGGAAAAGAAGAAAGUGGCUUUGGGUAAAGUCUGCCUACUUGUAGCAGAAGUCCAAGAGGUAGUCAUCUCUGCAGGUAAAAUGCAAAGUUUGUUUGCUAUAUACCUCAGGAUGGAUUAUACUAGUCAAUGGAGAUACAGUAUGUUUCAAGAAUUUACUUAAAAACAAGGAAAAUAAAUUAGUUGAUCUCUCAGACUGCUUCCAGGCAGUAGUUUUUAAACAACUUAUCGUAUGUUUCUUGGCUUUUACAGCUUCACAUAAAAGGUUUUCCUGGUUCAUAAAGGAAAUUAAUGUGAAAUCAAUAAUGGCAUUUAAAAAUUCACCAAACAUUUCCCAUCCAGAGAAAGCCUCUCUCAGAGUGCUACUAAUGAUACAGCAGAGUGGGGAGAACACACACAGCAUUGAUGCUAAAGGCAGACAGAAGGGAAAGCAUCACAGAUGGAAAAUGCAGUGAGGACUGAUGCUUUUGGGAGCCACCAGGAGCAAGGGGGAUCUGCCUGUACCCUGACCUGAACAAACUGUGGGAUCAACUUGCAUGAGGCCUUUGCUUGAAAAUGUAGCCUAGAUGCUGCACUUCCUUCAAGCUAAUGGGUGAAAGUGGCAUGAACAACAGAGGAAAAACUCACUUGAUGGUGAAAAUACCAACAGAAACAUAGUAAGACUUGUUUCUUGUAGUAUAUUACAACUGUAUGACCCCCUGCAUUCCAGGCACUGAAGAGGAUACUUUUGCUGCUUCAGAUUGCUUCAUCCUACUACCCCAGGAAACCUGGAAUCAUUGUGGAAACAGGAAAGGCAAGUCAUGGAACAGGAUUUGUUCGUUGUGCUUUCAUUAAAAAUAGGAACUGAGGAGGAACCAUACAAAAGAUACAAGUGAGAUCAUACCUGGUGGUCUGGUGGAUGUAUAUGUGCUUAGGCCACUACUCUACUGAAAAAGUUGCAUUGUAGUUAUAAGUUGUGCAGUUUAAUACCACUGUAACUACUGGCACUUACCACAUUUAUACCAUUUGUCAGUUUUCCCUUUCUCCCUCCUUUUUCCAGCAUUUUUCUCAGGGUGGCUCAGAAAUAGUGGUGCAGGCCUCUGCAGUCUGAGGUGUGGUGGUCCUUGCUGAAAGGUGGCUUCCUGAUCUCCUGUGCCCAGGAGUGCACCUCUGUGCUGUGCAGCCUCACCUCCAGCACCAGGUGCAGAUCUGGGUGCUGCAGUAAAAAAAGGGGGGGCGGGGCUUAAAGCUGUUUUGGAGCCCAAAGGAGGGCUACAAAGAUGGAGCAGGGUCUGGAGGGCAAGGAGUGUGAGGAGCAGCUGAGCCUCCUGGGUUUGCUCAGAGCAGAGGAGCUGAGGGGAGGCCUCAUGGCGGCUGCAGCUCCUCACAGGGAGU
Molecule: long non-coding RNA, 8822 nt
Filed under: Gallus gallus (chicken)
Lineage: Eukaryota; Metazoa; Chordata; Aves; Galliformes; Phasianidae
Source: RNAcentral